AGAGAGAGACAUGCGCGCAUAUCAAUAAGCGGAGGAAAAGAAACUAACAAGGAUUCCCUUAGUAACGGCGAGUGAAGCGGGAAGAGCUCAAAUUUGAAAUCUUCAAGGUUUUACCUUGACGAAUUGUAGUUUAAAGAAGUGUUUUCUGCUGAAGUUUUGGUAAAAGUUCUUUGGAAUAGGACAUCAUAGAGGGUGAGAAUCCCGUAUUUGACCAUUAUUUUCAGCUUUGUGAUACACUUUCAAAGAGUCGGAUUGUUUGGGAAUGCAGUCCAAAAUGGGUGGUAAAUUUCAUCUAAAGCUAAAUAUUGGCUGAGAGACCGAUAGCGAACAAGUACCGUGAGGGAAAGAUGAAAAGAACUUUGAAAAGAGAGUUAAACAGUACGUGAAAUUGUCAAAAGGGAAGCGUUUGACACCAGUGUUGUUUUCUCGAAAAUCAAUUAAAAAUGGCUCGAUUUUGUAUUGUUGAGACCUUAAAAGCUCACUGUACAUUUUUCGUGUCUUUUUUAAUGCACUUUUCGUUUAACAAGUCAACAUCAGUUUCUUUUGUUGUAAAAGGGUCAUUGGAAGGUGGCUUUCUUUUCGGAGAAAGUGUUUAUAGCCUUUGGCCUCUGCAAUCGAAGAGACUGAGGUCUGCAGCGUAGACUCUUCGGGGUUAGAUACAUUUGUGCUAAGUUAUAGCUUUUUAUAGACAACUUGUUGACUAUAAUUAGUCUUGUAGCUUACUCGCUUAUGCUAUUUUACCUACGCUUAGGAUGUUGAAGUCAUCGUAUCGCGC
RNAcentral lists this ribosomal RNA (775 nucleotides) under uncultured Neocallimastigales. RNAcentral describes it as "partial large subunit ribosomal RNA". It matches the Rfam family "Eukaryotic large subunit ribosomal RNA", at positions 23 to 645 of the family's 3401-position model. The record is from RNAcentral. Lineage: Eukaryota; Fungi; Neocallimastigomycota; Neocallimastigomycetes; Neocallimastigales.